ACUAUAGUAUGUUAGGACACUGGUUAAGCAAAGCUUCAAAGAUGCUUUGGAAAGAUACGACAUUCUAAUCUCACCAGCUGCGCCGUCAGCAGCCUACAAGAUAGGUGAAAAGAUAAAUGACCCGUUAGCCAUGUAUUCAGGAGAUAUCAUGACGGUGAAUGUUAAUUUGGCCGGGCUUCUUGCAUCAGUUGUGCCUUG
Molecule: long non-coding RNA, 198 nt
Organism: Zea mays
Lineage: Eukaryota; Viridiplantae; Streptophyta; Magnoliopsida; Poales; Poaceae
Exons: 3
Source: RefSeq, a predicted model, not a curated record